GAAAGGGGCAGGUGGCUCCCACCCGUUCCGGCGGCUCAGGAGCUGUUUGGGAGCUGGAUGCACAGCCCACAACACGGCAAAAGCAGGAGCGAAUGCGAGUUGAUCAAUGCCUCCCUCCUUUCCCAGCCUCACAGGAAGGACCAAAACCUCAGUGCGCCGUCCAAAAAUAUAGGAGAAACAAACCUCACCAGCGCUUGUCGAAGGUGCUGUUACAAUGAGCAAGAAUAUCCAGGAAUUGAGGGAGGCGCUGGAAAGACAAACAAAAGAGGCUCUGAAACUCCAUGAAGAAACCACUGAAUUCCCAGUAGAAUCAGUGAUAUGUUUGAAUCCUGAGGAAUCUUUACCAAGUGGCAGUAUGCCUAGCGUGGGCAAGUAUUAAACAUAUUUCAGAACAAGAUUUGGGAGUAAAUCACUAUGAACGUUGCAGACUAUUAGGUGACUUAGAAGGAUGCUCAUAAGUUUAUGUUUCAUAUUUCAACUUGAAUCCUCUUUAGGCCCUGUGUCUUGAACAGCUCUUAUUGACACAAGCCCAAGGUAAAGGCAGAGCAGGUUUGAAAUGUACUCCUCUGAACAUUGUGGCAUUUGCCAC
Molecule: long non-coding RNA, 589 nt
Organism: Harpia harpyja (harpy eagle)
Lineage: Eukaryota; Metazoa; Chordata; Aves; Accipitriformes; Accipitridae
Exons: 3
Source: RefSeq, a predicted model, not a curated record